AAGGUGUGCGAGAGAACUCGGGUUAAGGAACUCGGCAAAAUGACCCCGUAACUUCGGGAGAAGGGGUGCUUUCUUAACCGGAAAGCCGCAGUGAAUAGGCCCAAGCGACUGUUUAGCAAAAACCACAGCUCUCUGCGAAGCCGUAAGGCGAAGUAUAGGGGGUGACACCUGCCCGGUGCUGGAAGGUUAAGGAGAGGGGUUAGCGUAAGCGAAGCUCUGAACUGAAGGCCCAAGUAAACGGCGGCCGUAACUAUAACGGUCCUAAGGUAGCGAAAUUCCUUGUCGGGUAAGUUCCGACCCGCACGAAAGGUGUAACGAUUUGGGCACUGUCUCAACCAGAGACUCGGUGAAAUUAUAGUACCUGUGAAGAUGCAGGUUACCCGCGACAGGACGGAAAGACCCCGUGGAGCUUUACUGUAGACUGAUAUUGAAUUUUGGUUCAGUUUGUACAGGAUAGGCGGGAGCCUUUGAAACCGGAGCGCUAGCUUCCGGUGGAGGCGCUGGUGGGAUACCGCCCUGACUGUAUUGGAAUUCUAACCUACGGGUCUUAUCGACCCGGGAGACAGUGUCAGGUGGGCAGUUUGACUGGGGUGGUCGCCUCCUAAAGUGUAACGGAGGCGCCCAAAGGGUCCCCCAGACAGGGUGGAAAUCAUUCGUAGAGUGCAAAGGCAUAAGGGAGCUUGACUGCGAGACCUACAAGUCGAGCAGGGACGAAAGUCGGGCUUAGUGAUCCGGUGGUUCCGCAUGGAAGGGCCAUCGCUCAACGGAUAAAAGCUACCCCGGGGAUAACAGGCUUAUCUCCCCCAAGAGUCCACAUCGACGGGGAGGUUUGGCACCUCGAUGUCGGCUCAUCGCAUCCUGGGGCUGUAGUCGGUCCCAAGGGUUGGGCUGUUCGCCCAUUAAAGCGGUACGCGAGCUGGGUUCAGAACGUCGUGAGACAGUUCGGUCCCUUAUCCGUCGUGGGCGUAGGAAAUUUGAGAGGAGCUGUCCUUAGUACGAGAGGACCGGGAUGGACGCACCGCUGGUGUACCAGUUGUUCUGCCAAGGGCAUAGCUGGGUAGCUAUGUGCGGAAGGGAUAAGUGCUGAAAGCAUCUAAGCAUGAAGCCCCCCUCAAGAUGAGAUUUCCCAUAGCGUAAGCUAGUAAGAUCCCUGAAAGAUGAUCAGGUUGAUAGGUUCGAGGUGGAAGCAUGGUGACAUGUGGAGCUGACGAAUACUAAUAGAUCGAGGACUUAACCAUAUAA
This 1242-nucleotide ribosomal RNA is filed under the name Bacillus anthracis (anthrax bacterium). RNAcentral's name for it is "partial 23S ribosomal RNA". It matches the Rfam family "Bacterial large subunit ribosomal RNA", at positions 1683 to 2925 of the family's 2925-position model. The record is from RNAcentral. Lineage: Bacteria; Bacillati; Bacillota; Bacilli; Caryophanales; Bacillaceae.